This 303-nucleotide ribosomal RNA is filed under the name uncultured bacterium. RNAcentral describes it as "partial 16S ribosomal RNA". It matches the Rfam family "Bacterial small subunit ribosomal RNA", at positions 507 to 807 of the family's 1533-position model. The record is from RNAcentral.
AGCAGCAGCCGCGGUAAGACAGAGGAUGCAAGCGUUGUCCGGAAUUAUUGGGCGUAAAGGGCUCGCAGGCGGCUUCUUAAGUCUGAUGUGAAAGCCCCCGGCUCAACCGGGGAGGGUCAUUGGAAACUGGGAAACUUGAGUGCAGAAGAGGGGAGUGGAAUUCCACGUGUAGCGGUGAAAUGCGUAGAGAUGUGGAGGAACACCAGUGGCAAAGACGACUCUCUGGUCUGUAACUGACGCUGAGGAGCGAAAGCGUGGGGAGCGAACAGGAUUAGAGACCCCGGUAGUCCCUGUCUCUUAUAC